AGUGUCAUAGUCAAGGGGGCUUGCAAGCUUUUCCUGCUUAACCAAUGCAUGGCGCGUGAGGGCUGUUAUGAUAUUUUCUGGUGUGCGCAGGGAUUCAAACUCAUUUAUUUCCUGGUUGCCUUUUCCAAGGUGUGACGAGUAUCUAUGAAGGAGACCCAUGAUUUCUGUAGCUUCAUCUUGCACAGGGGGCUGUAAGGUGUCAUGUAGGCCAGCUAGUCUGGCUGCUCUGUAUGCUUGGAGCAGGAUUUGUAGGCGGUCAGGGGUGAGGAUGCCUGCACAUUUCCCUCUGGUGUCAUAGAUGCAUGCUGCUUGGGUGGCAGUUGCAAGGGGAAUUUU
This 336-nucleotide long non-coding RNA is filed under the name Dunaliella salina. RNAcentral describes it as "long non-coding RNA (DSAL_LNC000367)". Lineage: Eukaryota; Viridiplantae; Chlorophyta; Chlorophyceae; Chlamydomonadales; Dunaliellaceae. The record is from RNAcentral.